Homo sapiens (human) is the source of this 988-nucleotide long non-coding RNA. Ensembl annotates it as long intergenic non-protein coding RNA 1968. The record is from Ensembl. Lineage: Eukaryota; Metazoa; Chordata; Mammalia; Primates; Hominidae.
AACACAAGAGGCAAAGAUCACUCGGGACCACCUUGUAUAUUGGCUACCACAGAACCCAACACAAGCAGUAAGUUAAAAUCAUGAAGCUCCUGACGUCAGAGGACAUGGCUCUGCCAUUUGUUAGGUAGGGAUCCUGUUAAAGGCUCAGCUUCCUCAUCUGGAAAUGGAAAUAUAGGCCUUGCCUGGUUUGCUGUAAUGGGUCGUGAUGAGGACCAAACUACAAAGAGUGGUACAGAUGUUAAUUACAAUGAUUUUUCCUAUGCCACCCAUGGAAACAAAAAUAGCAAGAUAGAGAAGGCUAAAUCCCAGUUUUUUUUGACUGCUAUUCAGCAAAGCCUAGGAGACUUUCAUGACACCUGGAGAGGCGGCCGUAGUGUAUGUGUAAGAGUACCGGUUCCAGAGUGGGGCUCCCCGAGCUCAGCCCCACCACUUACCAACAGCGGACCUUGGGCCAGAUGCUGAAGCCCUUUGUGCCUUGGUUUCCUGACCUAUUACUGUGGAAAUGAUGACAGUACCCUCCUCAUGGCAUCGUGAGAAUUAAAUUAGCUAAUUCAGGUGAAGCAUUUAGAAGAGGACCUCCUGACACUUAAUAACUGCUUGAUAUAAAUAAUAGCUUCUGCUACAGAGUGGCCAUGAAGUCUGGACAUGUAGAUAUUAUAUUAUCAUGCAUCAUAAGGUAGUUGAUCUGGUGUGAGAUUCCAACCUCGUGUGAGAGAGGAGAAGACCUUCAUUACACUAAUUCAUGCUGGCCCAGCCUCCAGGCCACCCCAGAUGUGAGGUGCUGUUAACACUGCUCUCAGAGAUGGAGUCUUGCUCUGUCUCCCAGGCUGGAGUGCAGUGGUGUAAUCUCGGCUCACUGCAACCUCUGCCUCCCGGGUUCAAGUGAUUCUCCUGCCUCAGCCUCGGAGUAGCUGGGACCACAGAUGGAAAGUCAGUGUAUCACCAAGUGAUCCAUCUCUGUGGGAAUAAAAAGUAUCUGUUAAUUCCA